UACCAGCACCCCGAGUGGUCGGGACGAUUAUUGGGCCUAAAGCAUCCGUAGCCGGGCUUACAAGUCCUCCGUUAAAUCCAGCUGCUUAACAGAUGGGCUGCGGAGGAUACUAUAAGACUAGGAGGCAGGAGAGGCAAGCGGUACUCAGUGGGUAGGGGUAAAAUCCGUUGAUCCAUUGAAGACCACCAGUGGCGAAGGCGGCUUGCCAGAAUGCGCUCGACGGUGAGGGAUGAAAGCUGGGGGAGCAAACCGG
Molecule: ribosomal RNA, 253 nt
Filed under: uncultured bacterium
Lineage: Bacteria
Description: partial 16S ribosomal RNA
Rfam family: Archaeal small subunit ribosomal RNA
Source: RNAcentral